GCACCGUGACAUGAGUGCUCUUCAGCAGCGAGCAGCCGGAGCAGCCCAUUUCAGUUCCCGUUUUGCCCUCCGACACUCUGACCAUGGUUUUCCAGGCAGAUGGAAUAAUACGGAUGCAACCGGAGUAAGGGUAGCAAGCUCUCGGGGAAGAAAAUGGCCGAAAGAGCCAGGCAUGCUGUUUAUCUUUUGACUCAGUGGGGAAGAAAGUCUCCAACAACAUCAUUUCCAUACCCAUCUGUGUUUUUCCACUCAUGAUAAUUUUGAAAAAGAUAAGAUAAGGGAAGAGCCCUGUCGGUCAGAUCCACACGUGAAAAAAGAUAAGUCAUUCACCUAAUUCAAUUGUUUUUAUUAUUUAAUAUUUAUCAAAUGGUACAGGUUAUUGUGUGAUGGUGGAACAAUGAUGAUAUCUUUUUAUUAUUUAAUAUUUAUCAAAUGGUACAGGUUAUUGUGUGAUGGUGGAACAAUGAUGAUAUCUUUUUAUUAUUUAAUAUUUAUCAAAUGGUACAGGUUAUUGUGUGAUGGUGGAACAAUGAUGAUAUCUUUAUUUUAUUUUUUGAAUGUUUUCCACUAACUGAUGGUGGGUUUACAACAGAUGCUGAAAGUGGAUGUGGGUUGCCACACCCAUGCAUUUUAAAUUAUGUUGAAAUUAUCAGCUCAAAUCCAAAAGAACUAAUCCACUUUUAUAACCUAAAACUAUGCUAUAAUACGCAUGGCAAGGUUUUACACUUAUAAGAAAUAUACAUAUUAAAUAAUUGUUGUUACCAUAUUUCUUUUACGUAUUUAUUAUAUUUAUUCAUUAUACGCUCAUGAUUAUACUGUCAUUUAUUGUCAGGAAUUAUUGAGCAACUAGGUCCACUGAUCAACAUUGUUGCUGAUUAACGAGGUCUACCAACUUAUAGACUGAUGAGCCACGUGCUUGUGGUGAUCUCUUGUCUGACCGGACACCCACUUGCUCGGACAUUCGCUUAUUGGGACACCUAUGUGCCUGGACCCAACUCGAUGACCCUACAGAUAGUCCCAACUCGAUGCCCCUACGUAUGGCCC
This 1044-nucleotide long non-coding RNA is filed under the name Malus domestica (apple). Its description in RNAcentral is "long non-coding RNA (MDOM_LNC009613)". The record is from RNAcentral. Lineage: Eukaryota; Viridiplantae; Streptophyta; Magnoliopsida; Rosales; Rosaceae.